This 210-nucleotide long non-coding RNA is filed under the name Trifolium pratense (red clover). RNAcentral describes it as "long non-coding RNA (TPRA_LNC006144)". The record is from RNAcentral. Lineage: Eukaryota; Viridiplantae; Streptophyta; Magnoliopsida; Fabales; Fabaceae.
AACCUGAACUGUAGCGACAGUAGCAUAAUUUAUUUUCUAUUUAAAGGGAGGCCAUUCCAUGUUAAGAGGCACCCUUAGUUUUCACAAGCAUAGAGAGUUUUAGAGAGCAUCUGGGCAAGUAUUCUGAGGUUCUCUUUGUAAGCUUUCUGCAAUCUUUCUUUCAAUCUUAAUACAAUCGAUCUUGUUUUCAAUUUUUUCUCUCCUCUCUUU